AUACGUAGGGGGCGAGCGUUGUCCGGAAUGAUUGGGCGUAAAGGGCGCGUAGGCGGCGCGGUAAGUCUGGAGUGAAAGUCCUGCUUUCAAGGUGGGAAUUGCUUUGGAUACUGCCGCGCUUGAGUGCAGGAGAGGUUAUCGGAAUUCCCGGUGUAGCGGUGAAAUGCGUAGAGAUCGGGAGGAACACCAGUGGCGAAGGCGGGUAACUGGACUGCAACGGACGCUGAGGAGCGAAAGUGUGGGGAGCAAACAGGAUUAGAUACCCUGGUAGUCCACACUGUAAACGAUGAAUGCUAGGUGUAAGAGGUAUCGACCCCUUUUGUGCCGGAGUCAACACAAUAAGCAUUCCGCCUGGGGAGUACGGCCGCAAGGUUGAAACUCAAAUGAAUUGGCGGGG
This 397-nucleotide ribosomal RNA is filed under the name uncultured bacterium. Its description in RNAcentral is "partial 16S ribosomal RNA". It matches the Rfam family "Bacterial small subunit ribosomal RNA", at positions 523 to 918 of the family's 1533-position model. The record is from RNAcentral.